Molecule: non-coding RNA, 1180 nt
Organism: Vicugna pacos (alpaca)
Lineage: Eukaryota; Metazoa; Chordata; Mammalia; Artiodactyla; Camelidae
Source: RefSeq, a predicted model, not a curated record
CCUCCCCACAGCCCACAGCAGGGCGCAGACCCCGGCACAGGCUCACUCAUGUGCUGCUGACCUUCCAGUUCCUUCUCCUUGGCUUCCACCAAUUUCCUUGGCCUUCCUGCCCUUGACCCUGAAACACAGGAGCCCCAGUGGGGCUAGAGAACAGAGAAUGGGUCUGGGAUCCCCCAGCUCCGGGAGCUGUCAGUCCAAGGCCAGAGAGUCUUAGAGCCCUGAUGGGACCAGCACGUGGGGUGGGGGCAGGAAGGUGGCAUUUGCAGGAAGUAGCACUUUGCUUGGGCGUGAAGGCUAAGCUGAGUUAACCCAGGAGGGAGGGACCAGACUGCUCAGAGAUGUGGGCCCACAGCAGGCUGCCUUGCCUGCCUGGCCACCGAGGCUCCACCCUGCUGGUGUAAUGCCACGUGAGCUGCUGCGCGCGCGCCGAUCCGGGCCUCAGACGGUCCUCCUGGUUCCCCAACUCUGAGGGGCGACUCAGAAGCUAUGAGAUCCACAGGCCUCCAGGCGGACCCUCGAUCUGGGUGUGUGGUCGCGGAGACGGGUCACGCAACCCGCACAGCUCGCGGGUAGAAGCCGCAGCCAAGCGGCGCCGCGGCCACCUGUCCAGGAUCACGAGGGCAGGUGGGCCCGGUGGUGGUGGCCCAGGCGCGACAGCUGCGCGGCCGUCUGCCCCUGCCCGCUUCCGGCUGCUCCCUCCUCGCGGGAGGGUCCUGGGCUCCGCGAGACCCGGCCACGAGCGCCCCCUGGCGGCCGCAUUGAAAACAAACCGUGCGGGCGAGGCUCGGAGAGGAGGUGCGCGGGCUCAGGAGACCGACCUCUAAGGUCAAGGGCCCCGCCUGCGAGCCGGUGAGCAGGAUUGUGUGCCAGGACCCAAGGACACCACUCCCAAAGAGCUCGUCCGAGGGCACUCCGAGGGCCUGCCACUGCCGGGGUGUGGCCGCAGGGAUGAGAUGCCCACCACGGGAGGCACGUCAGCCUGCAGCCCGCAGCCUGGCGGGGGGUGACCAGCAGGCCCCCAGCGGCCAGGGGCAGAGAAGCAGGCACUAGACAAACAUCCACAUGCCAGUGACAGGAACUCAGAGGCGCAGCAGGGGCCCAGAGAGCGAUGUUUCCGGGUGCCAGGCGUUGACGGCUAACUUCCUCUGAAUAAGCGACAAGGAUCUGGUCCCGCAGGGCU